Molecule: ribosomal RNA, 393 nt
Filed under: uncultured bacterium
Lineage: Bacteria
Description: partial 16S ribosomal RNA
Rfam family: Bacterial small subunit ribosomal RNA
Source: RNAcentral
AUACGGAGGAUGCAAGCGUUAUCCGGAUUUAUUGGGUUUAAAGGGUGCGUAGGCUGUGCGGAAAGUCAGAGGUGAAAGCCCGGGGCUCAACUCCGGAACUGCCUUUGAUACUUCCGUGCUGGAAUACGGAUGCCGUGGGAGGAAUGAGUAGUGUAGCGGUGAAAUGCAUAGAUAUUACUCAGAACACCGAUUGCGAAGGCAUCUCACGAAGCCGUUAUUGACGCUGAGGCACGAAAGCGUGGGGAUCGAACAGGAUUAGAUACCCUGGUAGUCCACGCCGUAAACGAUGAUAACUAACCGUCGGCGAUACACAGGCGGUGGCCAAGCGAAAGCGAUAAGUUAUCCACCUGGGGAGUACGACCGCAAGGUUGAAACUCAAAUGAAUUGGCGGGU